UGUAAGUUACGUAAUAAUUUCGUAAGGUGUCGCCGACUAACUUCCGUUAAAAAUAUCAACAAUAGGUAGCGCCACCGUAGCUACCUUAACCCCUCCCUCCCUCUCCCUUUCUUAUUGCUUGUGUCCUUUUUUCAGAUUGUGUGUGUGCCUGUGUGGUCUGUAGAGAGAGAGAGUUUUGGCCGUAACUUUAAGCAUGAUUGGGGAUAUACUUGGGGAAAUCUUGUCGAGUGAGUGUUGGUGAAUAACUCCAUAGAUUUUGUUAGUUUAAUCAAUAGCCAGAGCACGGUUUUCGGGCUGAAGUGAACAGUAGUGAACUCAAGUAACACAAUCUCUCUCUUGAAGUAGUCUGCAUGUUAUUUUCAAAAUAGUGAAACGCGAGGAAGGGCGGCUCUUCACAGAGUUCGACAGUCAUUAAUCGAAGGCUGGUCGGAUGGUUGUGAUCGAAUUCGACGUACCCCGAUCCGUCUCUCUCUCCGCGCUGGACGAAAACAAUGUGACCCUUAAAGAUUCCCCCGAGAAUGGGGGACAGGAAUCCAACAAGAUGGUUCCAAGAGCAACACUCAUCUGUAGACCAAAUUCACACCCUUUCCAGGAGAGAAAUCUCAGCCUGGAAAGUGCCAUGAAAGUUGGGCGCUCAGUGGCAAGAGUGAAGCCUGCUGUCAACAAUGCCAUAUUUGAUUGUAAAGUGUUAUCUAGGAACCAUGCUUUGCUAUGGUACAAAGAUGGAAAGUUUUAUUUACAAGACACCAAAAGCAGUAAUGGCACAUUUGUGAACAAUCAGAGAUUAAGUAAAGGAUCUGAAGAAUCAGCACCAAGAGAAGUGUGCUCUGGUGAUAUAGUACAGUUUGGAGUAGAUGUUAUGGAAAAUUCAAGAAAAGUUACUCAUGGUUGUAUUGUAGCCACUGUAAAGCUAUAUUUACCUGAUGGCAAAGAAGCCAAAGCCAGUCCUUCAACUGGAAUUCAAGAAGAGGAAGACAGUUGUGAACUUGGCAAACAAGAUCUCUAUCAGCUUAAUCAAUGGAUACAGGAAGCAGUAAUCAGAGAACAAGUAUUAGAAACGAAAUUAGGAUCGUUGCAGCGUAUUGUGAGCGCUACUCGUGAAGCAGCUGAAAUGGGCUGGACGGCGCUGAUGGAGGAAGAUAGACUAUUGACUCGAAUAGAAUCUCUCGAAAAUCAGCUGGUCGUCUCUUCUAAAAACUUUCACGAAGACAAACUACGUGAAGAGAUCCGUAAGUUGUAUGACGAGAAAAACAUUUAUCAGGAUGUUUCGAAAGAAUCAUUACGGAAAGUGCUCACAGAGAAAAUGGAAACUUUGAAGAAGUUACAGGAAACUGAACGAUCAUUGAGUAACGCUGAAGACGAACGCGACAACAUGAAAGAAUUGAACGAUAAACUGAAUGAACAAAUACUAGAAUUAGCCGAGAAAUUCGAAAAAGAAUCGGAAGAGUUACAGUCGUGCAAGAAAAAGUUACAAGAAGCCGACAACCAACAACUUCGUCAUGAGCAGGAGAUGCAAUCAAGGCAAGAAGCCCUUCGAGAAGCUCAAGAAAAAGAAACGAUUCUUCUAGCUCAGGUGGAAAGUAGACAAGCGGAAAUCGAUUUCACCAAAGAGCAGCUCGCCAAUCUCAGACUACGUCUCGAUUCAAUGAAAGCAACAGAAGAAUUGAAGAAGGAUGAGAACGAAAUAAGUGGGGAUGAAGUGGAAGAUAAGAGCAACGUCAAAGAAAACCAGACGGAAACAUUGAGACAAAGGGUGAUCCAGCUCGAGUCGCAACUUAAAACUUCCCAUGCAAAGAAUCUAAAUGGAGACUUUGUCCCAGAUCCUAUUGGAUACAAGUCAAAAGAAGUGGAUCGCCUACAAGAGCUUUUGGAAGAAACGCGCGCCAAGUGCCGUGUACUUGAGUCAGAAGUGGAGAGACGGCAGCUAGAGGCACAAGAUGGUUGGUCUACAGCCGCACAUCUACAGCAAUACUUUAGAAACCUGCACAACGUUCUCAAAGGCUCAUCUGAGCAGGAAGAGGAAUCCGCUGAUGAACCAUCUGAGCUCGCUGAGCUCGUCCGUUCCAGUAUCGUUUCACUCAAUAAUGAGUACCAAGAACUUCGAGAAGCUAAUGCGAAGAAUAAGGAUCUUAUUUCGCUAUUGACCUUACGACUAAGUAAUUACGAAAAGGAAGAGAAAGCCAAUCGUGUCAGUGAAACCACCGCUCAUAGAGGCUCAACCUCAGAAUUGGAAUAUCUCAGGGACGAAGUUGCUAUCCUCACCAUCCAGUUGAAAGAGAUGGAAGUGUCGAGGAUAGAGCAAAUUGAGGAACGCCAGAAAUGGCAACAAGCCUACCAGUCGCUAGCUCUCAGCGUAGAGAAUCGGGACAGUGGAGUGGUUAGCGGAUUUAGCAGUCCAAUCAGUAAUCCACCGAGUUCCCGUGAUCCUGAAAUGAGAGAUUCUGGCAUCCGGGAACUUAAUUCCGGAGAAGAUGCUAAUUCGGAAGAAUAUGUUACCAUGCAGCAAUUGUCUGAGGUACGAAACGAACUCGAAGCUUUACGGCGCCACUACGAUAAUGUACAAACGGAAAAGAAGGAGCUAGAAGAAGAAUUCUCCCAGUUAAAGGACAACUACUCGUUACUAUCUUCUCAGUCAAAAACGGUUGGCCGCUGGAUGUAUGUAGUCCCGUUGGCCGUCCUUGUCUUGGCGGUCCUCAUAGCUUUCAGGCCAUCGGAUUGAAAUAACGAUAAAUUAAAAGACAGAAAAGGGGAAGCACCAAUUCUAUUUCAUCCUUUGUCUUCCUUUAGAAAACUAAAUGUGUGUGCCUUCUAAAAGACAUAUUCUUUUUGUCAGCUGAGAGUCCGUCAACUCUUGUUUUUUCCUCACGUGAAACUGAACGAAGAGGGAAUAAGAAAAGGAUUUGAACACAAAACAAAUAAGAAGCUAUUUGAAUUCUUCGAUAGUCUGCUUGAUUUUGGAUUCUCCUUUUCUCUCUCGCUUAGGUUCUGUUUUCUCACAUUUUUUUUCUUCAGCUGUAUUUGUUACCUUCUUAUUAUUGGCUUUCUUUUCUCUCGUUCGUCGACUUGUGUUUAUGUGCCUUCAAAAUUUAUUUUAGAGAUGAAUUUAUUGUUUUUGUUAGUUCAAUAUCCGUGGCCAAAAAACAACGCAAACAAAAACAACAAAACAUUUUUCGCUCUGUAUGUUUGCUUCGAUUUACUUUAUUCUUUAACUUUCAUUUUUUUUUCUCGUCUUAAACUAACACCGCAUUGACGUAAGAAAUUUAUGCUAACGGUGGACAUUAGAGAACAAAAAAAAGCUGAUCCAUCGAUUAUUUUCCUUUCUCUUUUUCUCUGUUUGUUUGUUUUUUUUUGUUUUUUUUUUUGCUGUGCCUCUUGUUUUUUUUUCGUGUUUGUCUGCGCGUUUUCUGUAGGCGACGGCGUUGUGUCUCAUGCCCUUGCUCGUAUUGUUCAUCUCGUUCUUCCUGGCCUUCUACCGCUUCUUCUCGCGGCUGACGGCUACAUUCGAGCCCUGAGAGAUUUUGCCGGACAACACGGAAGAAAAAUAAGGAGAGAGACAAUAACAGCAACAACAAAAACAUCAUCAUCAUCAUCAAUUGUUUUUUUCCUGUUCUUCUACCGAUUGUAAGCUUUUUUUUUUUCAAUUACUUCUAUCUACGCAAAUGGCGGGAUAUGCAGAUAAUAUCCCUUUUUUCGUGUUUUCUUUUGAAACAUAUUUGCUAGCGACAGCAGCUUUUUAAUUUUACCAAGUGCCAUCAAUAUGACAAAAGAGUGAUGUCAUUAACUAGUGUGUGUUUUCCGUCAACGCUACAGAAAAUGGCUUAGUCUCCUUUCUGUGUGUGUAUGUAAAACGUACAACGUCGGUGGGGAGGGGGAGAGUCGAAUCCUCUUUCCUCCACCUUCUAACAGGACCUGUGCAGAGUUAUUUUUUCCUUUGCUAUCUCUCUCUCUCUCCAUGAUUUUCUACUGUCACACAAAACACACACCCCUCCGAAGAAUGUUGUUCCUCUUUGUUUUUCAAAUGCUUAGUUUUACGGCAUAGUUGGCGUGCAAUAAUAGGCUCCCCUCAAUGAUUUUUCUUCCUUUUUUUUUUUUUCUUUUGCUGUCCGUCCUACCUCUGUCUAUCCACCAGCUCAUUAUCGUCGACAUCUUUCUCUUGUGUGUGAGGGAAAGUUUAAUAUUUUUCUCACCAGCCAACGACAUUAUUUUCAGCUUCGCGCGUCUUCGACUUGAAAGAUUUUGUGUCACGUUUCCUCCUUAAGGUCUUUGGCGGAUAACCGUCCGGCGAGAUGGAUAACCAUCGCUGGGAGGCCUCGGAUCUUAAGGAGUUUAUGAAAAAUUUCAACCAACAACAAACAUGUUCUAUGUUUUGUAGUCUAGUCCUCUUCUACGGAUAUUGUACACACUCCCCAUUUUCUCUCUUUACUAUCCCACCUGCCCCUGCCCCGUGUCCUGUUAUUUAACUCGCCCCAUUAAACAUCAGCAACAAAAAAAAAAAGAAAGAAGAGAAAAUGAAAAGAAACUAACAAGACAAUACAAUACUUUGUUUUUUU
RNAcentral lists this unclassified non-coding RNA (4550 nucleotides) under Daphnia pulex (common water flea). RNAcentral describes it as "sarcolemmal membrane-associated protein-like, transcript variant X8". Lineage: Eukaryota; Metazoa; Arthropoda; Branchiopoda; Diplostraca; Daphniidae. The record is from RNAcentral.